Molecule: non-coding RNA, 75 nt
Organism: Podarcis lilfordi (Lilford's wall lizard)
Lineage: Eukaryota; Metazoa; Chordata; Lepidosauria; Squamata; Lacertidae
Source: the annotation of a GenBank genome assembly
GGAAGAGCCAUACCUCAGUGGUAGAAGAUCUGCUUUGUAUGCAGAACAUCCAAAGUUAAAUCCCUGGCACUUCCA